This 942-nucleotide long non-coding RNA is filed under the name Capsicum annuum. Its description in RNAcentral is "long non-coding RNA (CANN_LNC006727)". Lineage: Eukaryota; Viridiplantae; Streptophyta; Magnoliopsida; Solanales; Solanaceae. The record is from RNAcentral.
GAUUCAUUUGAAUACCUCAUGGGUGUGGCAAAAAAAUCAACCUAAAACCUUAAUUAGGCAUCCCUAUUUCUAGUAUGAUCUCAAAACAUAGAAAAUUCACAAUCCAUCAUCAUCUUUAAGACAAUGUGAAGGUAUAAACUAACAUCUACUUUAUUAUUCAAAAAUACUUGUCACCCACCUCCCUCUUUCAAGGAUGAUGUAGGAUCUAAGGAAAUACCUGCAUACUUCUUUCAAGGAUGAUGUGGAAUUUAUGGAAAUUGGAGCUUUCACCUAGAAAUUCCAAUUUGUCAAUCAUGUACUAGUGAAACCCAAUAUCAUUAACAAAGAAUUCAUACUAACAAUCAAGACCCACACACAUUUUCACCAUAUUCAAACAUAACCCCAAGAAUACUAUUAAGCUACUCAUGAGAAUUGAGACAAGAAAUAUACCCAAAUUGGCAUUCAAUGCCUCCAUUGAUGCAAAGCAAGAAUACUAUCAAAUCAAAUUCCAAAUUGUAACUAAAAAUCUCUUAAUGCCAAUAAUAAUGGUUCUUUCUCAAUCCAGAAGGGUUUUUCACCAUACAAAACUUGAAUUCAAGUAAGAAGAUGCCUCAAAAGUGCAAGGGUUGUUCUCUUUUGAAAAUUAGAAGCAGCUGUAUGAAUUGACAAGUUGGCCCUUGGGAUAAUUCCACACCACCACAAUCGGCAUUAGUUGAUAGUAAUUGUGACGCUCGUGAUCACAUUAAGCUAUUGCGAUCACCUAUCUUUGAUCGGGCCUUAACGGUCGUGAUUACAGCCCUCAGACCGUGAUCGUAGUAACUGAGGUCAAUCCCAGCUCUAGAUUUUUAAGCUUUUACACAAACUUUGCCCUUUUUGUUCACUUUUCAGAUUACUUCACUUGGUUUCCUCUAAUUACGUAUAAAUCAGUAACCAUGGGUAUUAGUGCAUUCAAAUGGAAAUUUC